RNAcentral lists this ribosomal RNA (566 nucleotides) under uncultured archaeon. RNAcentral describes it as "bacterial SSU rRNA". It matches the Rfam family "Archaeal small subunit ribosomal RNA", at positions 326 to 894 of the family's 1478-position model. The record is from RNAcentral.
CGGGGUGCAGCAGGCGCGAAAACUUUACAAUGCCGGCAACGGCGAUAAGGGAACCUCGAGUGCCAGGUUACAAAUCUGGCUGUCGUGAUGCCUAAAAAGCAUUGCAUAGCAAGGGCCGGGCAAGACCGGUGCCAGCCGCCGCGGUAACACCGGCGGCUCGAGUGGUAACCGUUAUUAUUGGGUCUAAAGGGUCUGUAGCCGGCCGGGUAAGUCUCUUGGGAAAUCUGGCAGCUUAACUGUCAGGCUUUCAGGAGAUACUGCCUGGCUCGAGGCCGGGAGAGGUGAGAGGUACUUCAGGGGUAGGGGUGAAAUCUUGUAAUCCUUGAAGGACCACCAGUGGCGAAGGCGUCUCACCAGAACGGACCUGACGGCAAGGGACGAAAGCUAGGGGCACGAACCGGAUUAGAUACCCGGGUAGUCCUAGCCGUAAACGAUACUCGCUAGGUGUCGGCCACGGUGCGACCGUGGUCGGUGCCGUAGGGAAGCCGUGAAGCGAGCCACCUGGGAAGUACGGCCGCAAGGCUGAAACUUAAAGGAAUUGGCGGGGGAGCACAAGGGCGAUUCGC